GAUGAAGAACGUAGCGAAAUGCGAUAAGUAGUGUGAAUUGCAGAAUUCAGUGAAUCAUGGAAUCUUUGAACGCACAUUGCGCCCUUUGGUAUUCCAAAGGGCAUGCCUGUUCGAGCGUCAUUUGUACCCUCAAGCUUUGCUUGGUGUUGGGCGUCUUGUCUCUAGCUUUGCUGGAGACUCGCCUUAAAGUAAUUGGCAGCCGGCCUACUGGUUUCGGAGCGCAGCACAAGUCGCACUCUCUAUCAGCAAAGGUCUAGCAUCCAUUAAGCCUUUUUUUCAACUUUUGACCUCGGAUCAGGUAGGGAUACCCGCUGAACUUAAGCAUAUCAAUAAGCGGAGGA
Molecule: unclassified non-coding RNA, 341 nt
Filed under: soil metagenome
Description: partial contains 5.8S ribosomal RNA, internal transcribed spacer 2, and large subunit ribosomal RNA
Rfam family: 5.8S ribosomal RNA (bases 1-120)
Source: RNAcentral